This 6252-nucleotide long non-coding RNA is filed under the name Sus scrofa (pig). Its description in RNAcentral is "lncRNA (ENSSSCG00000058616.1)". The record is from RNAcentral. Lineage: Eukaryota; Metazoa; Chordata; Mammalia; Artiodactyla; Suidae.
UACAGGAAAUAGGAAUGGCAGUAUCCAAUUUGAUUUCAAGGUUUGAGAAGUUGCUCCACAGUGCUCUACAAUGCUCCACAAGCACAGCUGUUUCAAUACCAAGUAUUUUAAGAAUGGCUCUAUAAGAAUGGAAUUAAGAUAAUAUUUUCUUUUCAAUUUAUAUUUAUUACUUUUUAUAUGACCAUUAUGUUGCUGGGACAUAAAUACUUAUUGAGUUGUUUAAAAAGUAAGCUACUCAAUAAAUGUUUCUGUUAGGUAAUAUUUUAGGCUAAAUUUGCCUUUAAAACAUUAGGGCUCUGUAGAAAAUAAAGUCACAAAAUAAUGAAGGUUCCCAUCAACUGAAAAAUCAUAUGUCAUUCUACAAAUAUUUUGAUCCCAUUUGAUAUUACAUUCGUUAAUAAUUAUCUAUGUUGGCACAUAUAGACUGAAAGCAUUUUAGUUGCUGUAUAUAGUACUGUGUAUUAUUCCAUUUUGUGACCUAGCCACAAUUUAUCCUUUUCCUAUUGAUGCAUGUUUGUUUCCUCUCUUCUCUUUCUUUCCACUUCACUAUACUCACCUUCACUAUUCAUUAUGUCCUUGCUCCUUCUCCUCUCCUUGCUCCUUCCUUCCUUUCUUUUGUUCAUUAUUUUUCUUUUGUCUUUUUUUAGAUUUCUAUUACAGUCAGUGUUGUGCUGAACAUCUUUAUUAAUAGCUCCUUGUGUGCAUGUGAGAGGAUAUCUAUAUUUUAAUGCUGAGUUUAGGGAAUAAACAUUUUUAACUUUACAAAGUAAUGGAAAAUUGCUCUCCAAAAUGUUUCUGAUUUCUGCUUUCACCAUAACCUCUCCAACUCUAAGUAUUGACAGGCUUUUAAGUUGUUGAUAAAAGACAAGAGUAAAAAGGUAUUUAUGUGCUACUUUAAUUUUAUUUUUUAAAAGUAAAGUUUAAUGUAUCUUCAUAUUCUUAUUGUCCAAUCAGGUUUUAUUUUCUCUAAUUUUUUUCCUUUGUGCUCUCUCAGCAAUUUUUAAACUAUAAUGCUAUUUUUAAUGAUUUGUUGUAGCUUAUUAUAUAUCUGAAUAGAAAUGAUUCACUGAGUAGGCAUAUAUUUUCCCCUACUCUAUUGCAUGUCUUUUAUCCAUGUUUAUAGUGUUUGGAUUUUGUUUUGUACUGUUUUUUUGUUUUUCACUUAUAUUGAGAGAACAAUGGUUUUGCUAAUUUAAUAUUGGAAUAUGGUAUGUAUCACAUAAUAUAUUUUCUGGUGUUGAACAGUUCUUACUUUCAUGGGAUAAAUUCUCUGUAGUUAUGUAUGUAUAUGUAUACAUACACAUGUGCAUAUUUACAUUUAUUUGGCUUACUCUUAUUUUAUUUAGAAUUUUUGCAUCUAAAUUCUUAAGCGGGACCAGUGUAUACAUUUCCUUGUUCAUACUCUCUAGUAUCAGUUUGACUCUCAAUUAUCAAUUAUAGCAUUACUCAAUGUUUCUAUUUCUUAUUAUAUUGAUUUCAGUAUGUUACAUUUUUCUAGGAAAUUGACCAUUUCAUUUGAUUUUGUAAAUCAAUUAUCAGGUAGUUGUUUAGUAUAUGCUCUUAGUUUAAUGUUUCUUCUAUUGUUAGAGAUAACAUCCCUUCAUUUUUAAAGUUUCUAAUUAGUUUCUUUUUUCUUGAUUAAUAGUUAAUAAAUAAUAUUUUGAUCAGUGUAGACUUUAUUAUUACCAGAUUGAAUUUUUGAAAUUUCUAUGGUUUAACCUAAUAAUUUUUAUUUGUCUUUUUAAAGAACCAAUUUUAGCUCUAUUAUGUAUUUGUUCUAUAUGAAUAAUUUUUGUUCUAAUCUUUAUUAUUUAUUUCUUCAUUUAUUUGGCUUAUUCUGCUAUUAUUUUUUAACUCACUAAGAUAGAUCCUUAACUAAUUAAUUUUACAACUCUAAUAUCAUAUAUAUAUAUGCAUUAAAGGCCAUAAAUUUUCCUCUAAGUAUCAGUUUAGCUACAUCCCACAGAUUUUGAUAUGUAAUGUUUUCAUUGUUGUUUAGUUUUAAAUAUUUAGUAUUUCCAUUACUAUUUUUCUUUUGACUCAUAGAUUAUUUAUAACCAUGAUUUUUAGUUUCCAAAUGUAUAUAGGUUAGGCUUUCUUAUUGUCUUAAGGUCUGAUUUUAUUGCACUGUCUUUAGAUAACAUGAUUUGUAUGAUAUGAAUUCUUUGGUAUUUAUUGAGUCUUCUUUUAUGGAUCAAUAAUUGUUGAAUUUUAUAAAUACUAUGCAAUAGCUUGAAAAGAAUAUGUAGUUCUUAAGGGGCAAAGUUUCUACACAUAAGUUUGUUCAAAAUUAUUAAUUAUAUUGUUUAAAUUUUCUUUAUAUUUACUAAUUUUAUUUUUUCUCACCUCUUUUCUGCCUCAUAAUUUGCUCUUUUAGUUUAUUCAGUGUUCUGCUAGAAUUUCAUGUUCUUAGAAUGCCUGUCAAUAUUCUGUGAAAAUAUCUGCUUCUGCAUAUCUUUAGUCUCCUUUUCCAUAUCUUGCUUUUUCUUAUAGCAGUAAUAGUACUGGAUGUUAUAUUUUAUAUUCAUAUGCUUACCAUCUCCUUUAGAAAAACAUAAACUAAAGAUAGAUACUAUGUUUGCUCAUUGCUAUAUGUUCUUGCUAUAAGAUAGUAUCUGUGUAAAAAAGGCAUUCAAUAUAUAAUUGUCAAAUGAAUGAACAACAGAAUAACUGUUUUUGAUGCUAUGGUGAGCUCAUUUUCAGUUGAAGGAAGUUGUUUUCUCUGAGACUUCUGAUGACUCUUACAGUGAUUUAGCAUUUCUUUCUAUGCCAUGACUUAAGAUCUGCACACAUAAGAGUCUAAGGAAAUCUUGAUUGUCUUUGUGUUAAUUUUUAAACAGGAUUGUCUGUCCCCAAACUAUAGUAUAAAUGCUAAUUUCUAAAGUGUCCGUGGAACAUAUCUGGGUUUCAUAUUCCUUCUAUGUUUUUGUUUUUUUUUUACCACCCAAAACCCUAAGAAGGAUUUAAGUUUUCUUAUUGCUUCUUCAUGCCAGUCUAUAGUUUUCUUCUACUCCUAAUCUUAUGAGUGGUGCAUCCAUUAAUAAGCCUUUCUCAGAUGCUGCUCCAUUCCUUUCAUUGGCUUUAGGUCUUGUCUGUUUUCCACAUUGUUGUUAAUACUCUGCAUAUCAUCUUUAAUAUGUGGGUAGAUGUGUGUAUGAUACCCUAGAGUCCAGCAAGUCUUGAUCUCUACUCUGGUCUCUAGCUUUGAGUAAUCUUCUCUUUUCUGACGCUGAAAUAUUUCCUUUUCUAUUUUUCAUUCUAAUUUGGCUCAGUUUUUAGUUACCAAAAUUAUUCUAAGUACCUGUGCAUUUGGAGUAAAAGAGAAAUAAAAUUAUAUCAAUAGAAUCUGCCAUAUGCUAAAAUUAUUAGCAUUUCAGAAUAGCCUGUACUUACUUCUAGUAUAUCCAAUAGAAUCCUUACAUGAGUCUUUAUUAAGGUUGUUUAUAGUAUGGUAGUGCCCUUAUAUAAGAUACACAGUAAGAUUAUUAAUGUGUCUAGAACUUGACAUGGAUCAUAUUCUCCUAAUUCUUCAUUAACAUCAUGCCGUGAGUGUGUGUGUGUGUAUGUGUGUGUGUUUGUAGUGAGAGGGAGAGAAAGAGAGGUUAAAGAGUUUAGGUGGAAAAAGAUAUUAUUAGAAUAUUAUGAAGAAACGGAUCGUUUAGGAGAGGAGGGGAGAUGGGGAGAACAUGGGGAGUGGGUGAGAUUGCAUUGAUAAGACAGCUUGUACCUAAACAAGACAAAUCUUUGGCAAGGUUGGUUUAAUUCUUUUCAGUGAGGCAGAUGAACUGUAUCGGGGCAAAUAAAUUAUUCUAAUUCCAAUCUGCUUUUCCCUUCAACUCUUUGGACCUGAUUUCUUUUUCACAUGUAGCUAAACUGGUGCUUUUUGCUGAUACCUGAGUGAAGUUGAGCGGUUUGCCCUUAUACUCAAUUUUUGACACUUUAUGAUUUGUGCCAUACUCAUGUCUACAGGGUAAAAUUGCUCCCUCUGAGUACAGAGUAAGUGACUGUAAGCUUGAUUAUGUGUGAAAGCUCCUAUUCUAUCAUGUGAUAUUAACAGGAACCCAGUAUCAGCAAACCUUGUUCUUUUGGAACUGCUUUUCUUCAAUAUUCUCUAUAUGUAGCAGGGUCAUAGGUAAUAAAGGUAUUCAAGUCUCACAAGUGAUAUGUGAACACUUCAUCCUCUUUUGCAAAUAUUGCAAUAUUUUGUGAUUCUCCUUCAUAUCAAAAAAGAAAGAAUCCAAUUAUUUCUUUAAUGAAUCAGAUACUUUAUGGAGCUUUUGAAAAUGUUAUUUUUCAGAUAGAUUCAACAAUCUUACUCUAUUGUGUAAUUUAGUGGUAAGCUUUCCACAUUCAUCUUACCUUGGAAGGUCAAGCAUUUUAUGACCUCAAAAAGCCUGAUCCUUGUUUUGUAUAGACAAUUACCUAAAUGUUCCCAUUAUUUAGAAUGGGUAUUUCAACCAUCUCAAGGUUUACUUUUACUAGAAUUCUCAAGUGUUUUCAUUUAUUGAAUACUGAAUCCAGUUGAAGCAGCCUUUAUAAUACUGUCUAAAAUCUUAUAUUUUUUUAUUUUGAAAUUCGUAGUUGUAUGACAUGCUGAUGUAACUUAAUGGUAAACUUUAAAUUUAGACAUUACAGCUUUCGAAUUUGUGCAAAAGCCUAUUUGAAGCUUAAAAAAUAUUUUGACACCUUAGGUUCUAGAGAUUUAUGUAGCCAGAACAGAUAAAGCAGGAUUGUAUGUCAGGAAGGUAGAGUACAAUUUAUUGGUUAUCACAAAUAGAAGGGCUGAUAAUGUAAUGAAAACUGAUUGGUGGUAGAAUUUAUUAUAGCAACUAUAAUACAGAGAAUAGAAUGUAGAAUGUUACUAAUUAAUAAGUAAUGCAUCUCAUGACAAUGUGGAUCAAUAUACUAUCAUUCAGAAUUUUUACCAAGAUUUAUUUAAUUAUGUAGCUAUUUUGGUGUUAGAAUAUAAUUUUGAGAAGCAUCAAUUGAGUUUAAAGUACUUUUUGAGGUGAUAAUAAACCAGAAUCAGGUAAAGGAGUAUUUAUUACUUUGAAUAUAUGAAGAUAGUUUCUAAUUUGGAAAUUUAUAAGACCUACAAGAUUUUGAGGAAGAAACAAUUCUUAUAAUGAAUGUAAUGAAAAAGUAGCUUAAAAUUGCUUGACAAUAUCUUCAAUAAAAUACUGGAAGAGAAAUCCAUAAGCAUCUUGAAGACAGAAGAAUCAUGAGCAAUGAACAAGAUGAGUUUAUUAAAAACAAAUCAUGUCUGACAAAAUUAAUAGUUAUUUAAAAUAGAAUUGCAGAAUUAGCAUGGAUAAAAGGUAUGCAUUUUUAACUUCAACUAAGUAAUUGUAGCUUUUCAAAAAUAAUUUUUUAAAUUAGGAUACAAAUAAUCUAAUAGAUUGAAUAUUUAUGGAAAGAUAAGGAAUCUACUUAAGGUCAAAAUGUAGUGCCAGAAUAUCCCCAAAUUGGGAUUAGUUGGCUGUGACAAAGGCGACCUGAGGAGUCUGAGUCCCUCAUAAUCUCCACUGACUCCCCCAGAUGCUCAUACAAUUCAUGUAAAAGCAACAUGCAUGUCACAUAGUGACUUCUAAUAUAAAUCCUCCUAAUGCCCCUUAUAUUCAUAUUUUGUUGCUGUGUUUGCCCUAAAUAGAAAUUCCACAGGAUUUAUUGAUGGAUUUAUAUCAAGGGUCAACAGAUCUGUCUUACCCUCUGUUUUGUUUUGUUUUAUUGAGAUAUAGUUGACAUAAAAUGUUAUAUUAGUUUCAAGGGUAUAACAUAAUUUUUCAAUAUAGGUAUAUAUUGCAAAAUUAUCAUCAUAAUAAGUUUAAUUAAUGCCCAUCGCCCCACAUAAUAAUAAUCGAUUUUCUUGUGAUGAUUACUUUUAAGAUAUAUACUAUUGGCAACUUUCAAAUAUACUAUACAGUAAUAUUAACUAUGUAGUCAAUAUGAUGUACAUUACAUCCCUAAGACUUAUUUAUUUUAAAACUGGAAGUUUGUCAAUAUCUGAUGUACAGCAAAGUGACUCAGUUACACAUAUACAUACAUUCUUUUUCUCACAUUACCCUCCAUCAUGUUCCAUCACAUGUGAUUAGAUAUAGUUCACUGUACUGUGCAGCAGGAUCUCAUUGCUUAUCCACUCUAACUGCAAAAGUUUGCAUCUACCAACCCCCAACUCCCAGUCUAUCCCACUCAUUUCCACCCCCCCCACCUUGGCCACCACAAGUCUGUUCUCUGUGUCCCUGAGUUUGUAAA